This is a regulatory RNA element of 137 nucleotides. It matches the Rfam family "Ribosomal protein L10 leader". From Rfam's summary of the family: This family is a putative r-protein leader autoregulatory structure found in B. subtilis and other low-GC Gram-positive bacteria. It is located in the 5' untranslated regions of mRNAs encoding ribosomal proteins L10 and L12 (rplJ-rplL). The record is from Rfam.
UCAAUUUUUAUGGCUCUACCUAAGACUCAGGUGGCGUUAUUGCCUUAAUAUCUACCUGCCGAGGAGUAAUAAAUGAUUAUUUACUUGGAAUCUUUUACUCUAUGUCUUGGGUGACAUAGAGUUUUUUUGUAGAAAGC